RNAcentral lists this long non-coding RNA (1530 nucleotides) under Anas platyrhynchos platyrhynchos (common mallard). Its description in RNAcentral is "lncRNA (ENSAPLG00000025175.1)". Lineage: Eukaryota; Metazoa; Chordata; Aves; Anseriformes; Anatidae. The record is from RNAcentral.
UCUCCUUAGUGCCAGACGACAUCUGAGCAGGUUCCCCGAGGGCUGGCUGUUGGCUCUCAGUUCUCCUGGCCGCAUUUGUGGUGUCCCUCAGAGCUCCUCGUGACCCUGUUGCAGCCGAGGAGCCAGCAUGAUCUCCCUGGACAUCCUGCUACCAGGGCUGCCCACGGUUGAGCAGAGUGAGGUGUAAAUUCACCAAAAUGCUCCAGCUGCAUCCCACCCACAUCGCCUGGAACAAACAGAAGGGAAAUAUGUUGCGUGUAGUGUCCUGGAGUAUCGUUACUGCUCUGCGAUAACUCUCCUGUGGUGUUCAGCUCCCUUGGGUGAGGCCUCAGCACUCAGCAGUUCUUCCCCUUCUUGGUAUGCGUGAAAAGGGUACUCUAAAGCUGCAGAACACAGGCAGAUUAAGAGGGAAUGCAUAUUGAUAUUCCACCUUUACUAGGAUGAUCUCACAACUUCUUUGACCUUUUCCUGACCCCAUCCUUUAAGGAUGUCUUAGCUGGGCUUUGUCGGCUGGGAAAAUGAGUCUCAGCCAGCUGAGGUGAGGGGGGCUCAUCUGAUCAGUGUUUGCCCAAGGGAGGGAGUGACCCGUAGUGGGGAAAGCUGUCUGCUCUUUUCCUUCAGGAUACAAUUUUCAGAGCUUGUUGGUGUAACCGAGUCUCCGAGGGAGCUCUCAGCCAGAAGGUGGAGGGCAGGACAACUUGCCCAUGAGUGAGGAUGAAAGGAUGACAGUAGCGCCUUCCUUCUCUUUCCCCUCUUCCCAGUUGUUCUCUUUCACAGGAGCUGUGGCCAGUACAAGACUCUGCCCCAGAAUGCUUCGGAGUGGCACUGCAUCCCCAAUGGAUCUGCAAGCCAAACCCCUCAGCUCCAGUCCAGUUCACAAAUCUAGCCAAAAGCACUUCAUCCUUUUGUAAGGGAUGGCUCAGAUCUGUGCUCUCCAGUGCCUUGGUUUCUGUUUCUACAAAUGUAAUGGUAAACAUUGAUCUAAUACAGAAGAACACAGGAAAAUUAACAUUUUUUUUUCUGCUUCUUCCACUCCCUGGACUCUUCAAUUUCUCGAUUUCGUGCCAAGAAGGGAAUCUGAGACAACUGCUUUGACCCUGAUUAGAUUUAAACUGUGUGAAAUGAGCAGCUUUUCAUUUCACAGAAUCACAGAAUUGUAGGGGUUGGGAGGGACGUGAAGAGAGCAUUGGGUCCAACCCCCCUGCCAAAGCAGGUUCCCUAGAGCAGGUUGCCCAGGUAGGCGUCCAGGUGGGCAUUGAAUAUCUCCAGAGAAAGGGACUCCACAGCCUCAUGAAUGGAAGCUGGGACCUUUUGAAGAGUGUGAGCCCUGAAGCCUGCAUCUUUACUCUGCUGGGUGAGAAUAUGUGAGUGCAAGGGACAUGGUCAAAUAUAUACCUGUAGGUACUGGAAGUACUAAGCACCUGCCCAGGCAGAAGCAUUGCAGGCAGGCAGGUUCGUUGCUUUUCAUGUGGUUCUUGCAGCACAAGAAUUCUUUGCUUCUGAUUUUGGUUCCUCUGUGGUCUUGCUUUG